AGAGUUUGAUCCUGGCUCAGGAUGAACGCUAGCUACAGGCUUAACACAUGCAAGUCGAGGGGCAGCAGAUCGAUAGCUUGCUAUUGAUGCUGGCGACCGGCGCACGGGUGAGUAACGCGUAUCCAACCUUCCCUAUAGUAGAGGAUAGCCCGGCGAAAGUCGGAUUAAUACUCUAUGUUUUUCCGAAGCAGACAUCUAAUUUGGAACAAAGGUUCACCGCUAUAGGAUGGGGAUGCGUCUGAUUAGGUUGUUGGCGGGUAACGGCCCACCAAGCCUACGAUCAGUAGGGGUUCUGAGAGGAAGGUCCCCCACAUUGGAACUGAGACACGGUCCAAACUCCUACGGGAGGCAGCAGUGAGGAAUAUUGGUCAAUGGGCGAGAGCCUGAACCAGCCAAGUAGCGUGCAGGAUGACGGCCCUAUGGGUUGUAAACUGCUUUUAUGCGGGGAUAAAGUUCACUACGUGUAGUGUUUUGUAGGUACCGCAUGAAUAAGGACCGGCUAAUUCCGUGCCAGCCGCCGC
RNAcentral lists this ribosomal RNA (521 nucleotides) under uncultured bacterium. Its description in RNAcentral is "bacterial SSU rRNA". It matches the Rfam family "Bacterial small subunit ribosomal RNA", at positions 8 to 518 of the family's 1533-position model. The record is from RNAcentral.